GGAUGUGAGGGCGAUCUGGCUGGGACAUCUGUCACCCCAUUGAUCGCCAGGGUUGAUUCCGCUGAUCUGGCUGGCUAGGCGGGUGUCCCUUUUCUCCCUCCCCGUUUCAUGUGCGUCCCUCCCAAAGCUGCGCACUAGGUGGAAGAGGAUGACCAUCCCCUCUAGAGGAGGACCGUUCUUCGGUCAAGAGUAUACAAUUAGCUGCGUUCCCCUGCUAGAACUUCCAAACAAGCUCUGGAGAGGUGUUUUGGAGUCAUGGGGACAGAUUCCAAUGACUUGGUCUUCAUGGUAAUGAGUGAGUUAUCUCUCUAAUUA
RNAcentral lists this small nuclear RNA (315 nucleotides) under Carlito syrichta (Philippine tarsier). RNAcentral describes it as "7SK RNA (ENSTSYG00000026963.1)". It matches the Rfam family "7SK RNA". Rfam says of the family: 7SK was discovered as an abundant small nuclear RNA in the mid-70s but a possible function has only recently been suggested. Two independent studies have found that 7SK RNA binds the CDK9/cyclin T complex (known as elongation factor P-TEFb). P-TEFb activates transcription by phosphorylating the C-terminal domain of RNA polymerase II. Lineage: Eukaryota; Metazoa; Chordata; Mammalia; Primates; Tarsiidae. The record is from RNAcentral.